RNAcentral lists this long non-coding RNA (362 nucleotides) under Physcomitrium patens. Its description in RNAcentral is "long non-coding RNA (PPAT_LNC012736)". Lineage: Eukaryota; Viridiplantae; Streptophyta; Bryopsida; Funariales; Funariaceae. The record is from RNAcentral.
UCUGCUUUCUUUGAUAAGGAUGUCGAAGGUUGAACUGUAGGCAUUGUUGGUGGUGUUGUACGUACUGGAGCUUUGGGUGCUUGUACUAUUUUUGGAAUAUUGCUCCUAUUCUUCUUCCUUUCUCUUUUUACAAGCAAUCCCACCGCAUCUUCAAUAUUCUUCCACUUUGUUGUCAAUCCUUCAUUUUCUUCUUCAACUUCAAGAAGGAUUUCUAAUUUUCCUUGCAAUUCUCUAUCAGCAGCUUGAAGAAAUAGAUCAACUUUGUUCGGCUCCAAUGUCAAUUUUUCUACCUUCGAUAAUUGAGAGUACUGCCUCUCAAAUUCUCUUAGUAGCUCUGUUGCUUGCAAAUUCUUAUUAGACCG